Molecule: long non-coding RNA, 508 nt
Organism: Callorhinus ursinus (northern fur seal)
Lineage: Eukaryota; Metazoa; Chordata; Mammalia; Carnivora; Otariidae
Source: RefSeq, a predicted model, not a curated record
CUGCCUGACAACAGAGAGAAUGUCUAGGUCCACCCUCCUGUGAGUCAAGAGAUUCUAGUCCUGCUAGGGAGGCCUGCAGGAGGGUACCAACCAACAGCCUUUGGGGAGCAACACCUGCAGUUACAUUCAAAGGCGUGACUUUUCCAAGCAGUUUGUGAGCUGGCCGGCAUUGUCCCCAAAAGGAUAAAGGCCUAGGUUCUUUACCUGACUGGCAGAAGCAUUCCAGCACUACGAAAGGACUCUAAACAUUGUUUUCUUCAACAAAGAUUCCCAGAGUUGUGGGCCAUACUCUUAACACUGAAGUGCAUAGAACUUGGCAGAAAUCUACACUUCAGAGAUAAUAACAUAUCAUUCCAUGAAAUAAAGGAAAAGGCAUAAUCAAAAAAAGAAGUUAAAUAUGGAAACCUGUUUUGACAACAAAGAAAUACAGAUGAAGCCAGACAGGAAAGGUGUUAUGUAUGCAUGUUUUUUUCAUGUUUCACAUAAAUUAUGAUAUUGUAAGAACCUA